Molecule: long non-coding RNA, 1479 nt
Organism: Oreochromis aureus
Lineage: Eukaryota; Metazoa; Chordata; Actinopteri; Cichliformes; Cichlidae
Source: Ensembl
CUUUGACCUUAGUGGAAUCAGGUAUGUGAUCUGAUUAGUUGACUUAGUCGACUGCCAACGUAAACAGAGGGCGGGGCUUCACCGCCAAAGGCCCAUUGGAGACCUGAUACUACCUGAAGGAAGAAGAAACAACAGGAGUAUGCAGUCUAUCUUUUACUACACUUCUAUGACUCCUUCUUUGUAUAUCUGAGAAUGUAGCUCUGUCCUCGGGAUCUCUUCACUGUGCUGGAGCGGAGGCAUCAGCAGCACCUUGAUCUCUGUGCGGCUCUAAGUCCAGGGUUGAUUCUCCCGAUAAGCUGUCCAGAGCAAUUGGAGAAGAUGAUCUGCAGGAUCCUGCUGCUCAUCAUCCUCACCUCAUGUGUCUCUGCAUCACUUGCAGUGAAUGUGACAAAGACCUAUCAGGCAGAGGAGAAUGGGAUUGUCAACCUGGAGUGGACGUUCAUAAUGGCAGCUAAUAACCCCUCCAAUUUGUUUUCCAUUAUCUGUGAAAAGGAAGAAAAUGAUAAAGCCUCAGUCUUGUAUCAUGUUCGUCAUGGUGUUGAGGUGUCAGAUAUUCAGGAUGAAAGGUUUUCAGGACGAGUCCAGAGUGACAAAGACGCCCUCAGAGAAGGACGAAUCAGACUUCAACUGUCCAGACUCAGGACUGAUGACUCGGGUCUGUACCUGUGUGAAGUGAGCACGGGUUAUCGCUUUCAGGUUGAGAGCUGUCGACUCAAUGUCACUGCAGGAGCUGUUCAUUCCCUACACAAAAGAUCAUUUUGGAGUCCUCAAUCAGACAGAUGGGAAAGGACCACCCUCUACCCUUUACUAGGAAUGGCACCUGUACUGGUAAUACUCUUCUCUGCCUUCAGACGCCAUAAAAGACUCAGAAGGCAUUGCAUUUUUAUGUAGGUGUUUAAAACGUUUUGUGGAGUGCAUACUUUUCUCUGCACAACCAGCCAGACCUGUUUUGUCUUCUCCUACUAUCUUUAUGUACUGACACAAACUAAAAUACCUUGAGAGGAGUGUUGUGAUUCGGUAAUAGAUAAAUAAAACUGAACUACACUGAGUUAAAACCAGGACUAAGAGGACUCUGUUGGAGCCAUUUCUAUCAGCCUCAGUUGUCAGAGCGUUAGUCUGAAACUCAAGUGAGAAAACCUGAAGACAAUCCACCCAAGACUGUGUGAAUGUUUGAAGUGUCAGGAAGUGUGAGUUUAAAUUUUGUCAUUGUGUCAGUAUCAUAUUUAACACUUUGAAUUUCAGUAUAACUUGACAAUAACUUAAAUAUGAGCAACUCUUUUCCUUCCUAAAAAUAUUGGGUGAGUGUGUGAGCUGAGAAGAGCUGUCAGCAGGUCACACAGUAACCGUAACUGGAUCACAUGACCCAGUUUCUUUUUCUUUUUUGUCCUGUAUUCCAUUUAAUGAUAUUUAUUAAAGUCAGUAUUGUGUAUAUUGUAAGAUUCAGACUAAUUAAAGACACUUCUGUGCUUUUUGAGUCUC